UACAGAGGGUGCGAGCGUUGUCCGGAAUCACUGGGCGUAAAGGGCGCGUAGGCGGCUUGAUAAGCGUGCGGUGAAAGCCCGGGGCUCAACCCCGGGUCGGCCGUGCGAACUGUCGAGCUGGAGCACUGUAGAGGCAGGUGGAAUUCCGGGUGUAGCGGUGAAAUGCGCAGAUAUCGGGAAGAACACCCGUGGCGAAGGCGGCUCUCUGGAACGCAACUGACGCUGAGACGCGAAAGCGUGGGGAGCAAACAGG
Molecule: ribosomal RNA, 253 nt
Filed under: uncultured bacterium
Lineage: Bacteria
Description: partial 16S ribosomal RNA
Rfam family: Bacterial small subunit ribosomal RNA
Source: RNAcentral